Long non-coding RNA from Ictalurus punctatus (channel catfish), 3122 nucleotides. NCBI's taxonomy places the organism in Eukaryota, Metazoa, Chordata, Actinopteri, Siluriformes, Ictaluridae. The record is from Ensembl.
GUAGCUGGCUAAGGGAGAGUUUCUGUAGCUCUUUCUUUCUCUUUCUUUCCAUUUCACAGCCUGUGACCACUGCCUCUAGUUACUGUCUCUCUGUGUCGGUGUCUGUCUCUUAUUACCGCCGUCUCUUGCAGUGUGUGUGUGUGUGUGUGUGUGUGUGUGGUGUGUGCUGCUGCUCCGAGUGGAGAGGGAAUAGUGGAGGCAAAGGAUGUCAGUGCAAGAUAAACACCAGCACAGUCAAGUGGCUUUGAGAGAGAGAAAGAGAGAGACAGAGAGAGAGAGAGAGAAAGAGAGAGAGAGAGAGAGAGAGAGAAAGAGAGAGAGGCUGAUCCUAUGAGCUGGCUCUCAUUCCUCAGUUGAAUGUAGUACGAGGAGUUGAGUGUAGUACACAAGCUGUGUGGGCAGUUCACUUGUUCAAUACACCCUCAGUACACGCUUUGAUUUUCCCAAUUCUGCCUUUUCUCUUUGACCAGUCAAUUCUGCUCAACAGUACUCUCUCCUCCUGCAAAAGCACAUUCUGUUUUGUAAUCCAUGUCAAUUCUGCGUAGUGCCUUUUUCUAGAAAAAUCAUAAAAAGCUCUUUGAAGGGGAGAGUGAGGCGGUCGGGAAAAGACACUAACAAAAAUGUCCACCUUCUGUAUGCAGGGAUACUGGUAUUUAUAAUGGGUGGGACCUUUGCCUAGAGAAACAUUUAAUUAAAUUUUAUUGUAGUUAUACAGCACUUUUAAUGAUAGACAUUGUUACAAAGCAGUUUUACAAAAAUUCAGGACAUCCCUCAUGUCCAAGCCAGUGGCAAAGAAAUCCUUCCUGAGAUGACCUGAUGAUUUAAGAAGAGGUUGUCCUAUUGGUGCUACAAGUAUCAAAGCUAUCAGAUGAACUCCAUUUCCUAGAACCAGUGUUGUACAAGUAUUUUGUAUCAUGUACAAACCUUUUAUCAGCCAAGUUUAAACAUAGCAAAUGCUACAUUAUUUAUUCAAUUUUUUUGUUAAAUGUGUUUGGUAAUAAUAUGGUUCCAAUCUUUUCUAAUAUCAGACCUCGCAAUAUGGGCUGAAACCUGAUACUUAUCUCCUACUGACAUCCUCACAGUAAAUGAGCUGAGUGUUAUGUCUCUGCCAUGUUAUGAGAAAAAUAAGAGAUGUUUUGUCUUAUGUUCAUGUUUUGUCUGUUUUUAAACUUCACAUCAAUCCGUACAGGAUUUCACAGAGUUUCUUUGUGAUUGUUGCGGCCAAAAAUCCUUGAUUUUGCUGUGGCUUUUUAUAAAAUUUGCGAUGCAGAAUUACUACUUGAAUCGGCGAAAUUGCGAGUGCACUAAAUUGUUUUGCAAGGUCAUGUUUGUUGGUAAAUGAGACCUUUUAGCUGUACUCAUGUUCGACAUACAUGAAUCCAAGGGGGCUCUGGCUGAAUGCUCAUUGUGAUGAUGUCACAUGACAUGUCUUGGCCCAAAUGUGUGGAAAAUCUGUGUUAAUUUAGAAAAAUUGCAAGCUCCUGCGAAUAUUGCGGUGUUUCCUUGAUUUUGCGUUCAUUUCUGUGAUCACAAAAUUGCAAAAUCCUGGAGGGACUGAUCACAUGAUUUCACUGCUUUAAAUACUUCAGUGGAUCUGAUAAGAAAAUAUGAAAAGGUAUAAAAAUAUGAUCCAGGAUUUCCGGCCAUUAUCGGCAUCAAUAGCAAUCCUACAUCCCUAUUUCUCAUGUAGCUUCGUUUAAUUAUUCUGUAAUGAAUAAACCACGAUGGGAUGUUCUCUUAUAGGAAAAUAAUCAGUGGCAAUUGGUGUGAUGUGGGCCGUUACCACACUGGAUGUUUCCAAUAACAGCAUGUCCUAAAGGGUUUUAUUGCUUUUAUACCACUGCAAUAUGACAAUUAUUACUUUUUUAUUUUGUUAAUGAACAACACAUCAUGCUUUUAACUGAUUAGAACAUCCUUAAGACUUAAGGAUCCUUAAGACCAGCCUCUCUCUAUUUUUCUCUCUCUUGACAUAAAUAAGACAAAGAAAAUAAACACAGCUUGUCAUGUUACCAAAAAACCACAAGAAGGCAAAGCCAUCUGUCCUGAAGUCUCCUGUGGCGGAAAACUUGACCAUUAGAGCUGACACUGGAGACUCCUUCCAUUAGUAUUGGAUAAACAUCUCCUUACAGAAUUAUACAUUUUGAAUUGUCUAUCAUACAGCGCAUGUCUUUGGACUGGGGGAGGAAACUGGAGUGCCAAGAGGAAACCCCUGAGACACGGGGAGAACAUGCAAACUCUGCACACAGAGGGUGGAGGCAGGAUUCAAACCCCCAAACCCAGAGGUGCGAGGCUAACGUGUUAACCACUAAGCCACCAUGCUCCCUAUACAAAUGAUAAUCUUAUUAGAACAAACAUCCCAAACCUGUGAUCUGAAUUAUAGCUGGAACUACUGCAGAGCCACUGUCAUAGAAAAUGAAUCCACACCUACUGGCCAAUCAGAAUUGAGAAUUCAGCUGUGAUGUGGUAUAAUCGUAAUUAGCGGAAGAUCUGAGCAGAAGAUUAGCUGUAAUCAUAGUAACAGUAAUCGUAGAUGUAAUUUUGUGAGUUAAGAUCUCAGUAGUAUACUGUAACUACUUACGUUUCUCUAAACAUUAGCUGUAGUUCAUGUAUUAGAGAAGCCUAAUUCGUAAGUUAUCUAACUACAUUUUUAAGAUCUGAUACCUAAUACGUACAUGAUUCUAUAUCGUCUUCCUCAGUUGACGUGAGGAAAGUGUCGUGUUUUGAAAGUUCAUUUUGCUUGAACAGACAAUAAAACACACUUUUACCUAUUACCAUGUGCUGUUUACUUCCUGCCACACUGUUUGAUGGACAGCCUGUUCCAGGCUUUCAGUUUCGAGCAGUUUGAGAAUGCACUUCUGCCUAAACUAGGCCACAUUGCAUACUCUCGAGGUUCAUUAAAAAAUUUUCCUGUUUGACUGAAUUUUAUGUUCAUUGUGAGCAUGAUCAUCUCUAUUGAUCUUCUUAAAUAUUAGUCUGCAUACAUAUAUACACAUACAACAUAGCCUUUCUACCAAUUCUCACUUUUUCAUUCUCCCUCCCUAUAAGAGGGUAAGACAUCUGUUUGUGAGAGAGGAGGUCUGAUGGCUAAAAUGUUUGUGUGUGUGUGUGUGUGUGUGUGUGUG